GGCGGUGUGGCCUAGUCGGUACAGUGUUCGUUUUAAUAAGAAGGUCGUGGGUUCAAUCCCCACUCUCUCAUCUUCA
RNAcentral lists this transfer RNA (76 nucleotides) under Pleuronectes platessa (European plaice). Its description in RNAcentral is "tRNA-Leu". The record is from RNAcentral. Lineage: Eukaryota; Metazoa; Chordata; Actinopteri; Pleuronectiformes; Pleuronectidae.